CCUACGGGUGGCAGCAGUGAGGAAUAUUGGUCAAUGGCCGGAAGGCUGAACCAGCCAAGCCGCGUGAAGGACGAAGGUGCCAAGCAUUGUAAACUUCUUUUGUCAAGGGACAAAAUCAGGCUCGAGAGCCUGACCGAGGGUACUUGAAGAAAAAGCAUCGGCUAACUCCGUGCCAGCAGCAGCGGUAAUAUGGGGGAUGCGAGCGUUAUCCGGAUUUAUUGGGUUUAAAGGGUGCGUAGUCGGACUGUUAAGUCAGCGGUAAACGGCCGGGGCUCAACCCCGGCGAGCCGUUGAAACUGGCUGUCUUGAGAUUUCUAGAGGUAGGCAGAAUGCGCAGGGUAGCGGUGAAAUGCUUAGAGAUUGCGCAGAAUUCCGAUUGCGAAGGCAGCAUCCCGGCGGCGAUCUGACGCUGAGGCACGAAAGCGUGGGUAUCGAACAGGAUUAGAUACCCCAGUAGUC
RNAcentral lists this ribosomal RNA (459 nucleotides) under uncultured bacterium. RNAcentral describes it as "partial 16S ribosomal RNA". It matches the Rfam family "Bacterial small subunit ribosomal RNA", at positions 338 to 795 of the family's 1533-position model. The record is from RNAcentral.